GAUGAACGCUGGCGGCGUGCCUAAUACAUGCAAGUCGAGCGAACAGACGAGGAGCUUGCUCCUCUGACGUUAGCGGCGGACGGGUGAGUAACACGUGGAUAACCUACCUAUAUGACUGGGAUAACUUCGGGAAACCGGAGCUAAUACCGGAUAAUAUAUUGAACCGCAUGGUUCAAUAGUGAAAGACGGUUUUGCUGUCACUUAUAGAUGGAUCCGCGCCGCAUUAGCUAGUUGGUAAGGUAACGGCUUACCAAGGCAACGAUGCGUAGCCGACCUGAGAGGGUGAUCGGCCACACUGGAACUGAGACACGGUCCAGACUCCUACGGGAGGCAGCAGUAGGGAAUCUUGCGCAAUGGGCGAAAGCCUGACGGAGCAACGCCGCGUGAGUGAUGAAGGUCUUCGGAUCGUAAAGCUCUGUUAUUAGGGAAGAACAAAUGUGUAAGUAACUAUGCACGUCUUGACGGUACCUAAUCAGAAAGCCACGGCUAACUACGUG
RNAcentral lists this ribosomal RNA (497 nucleotides) under uncultured bacterium. Its description in RNAcentral is "partial 16S ribosomal RNA". It matches the Rfam family "Bacterial small subunit ribosomal RNA", at positions 28 to 507 of the family's 1533-position model. The record is from RNAcentral.